GGACAGGUGUCUGAGCGGUCUAAAGAGACGGUCUUGAAAACCGUUGUGGAGCAAUCCACCGCGAGUUCGAAUCUCGCCCUGUCCGCAA
RNAcentral lists this transfer RNA (88 nucleotides) under Bifidobacterium bombi DSM 19703. RNAcentral describes it as "tRNA-Ser". It matches the Rfam family "tRNA". Rfam says of the family: Transfer RNA (tRNA) molecules are approximately 80 nucleotides in length. The record is from RNAcentral. Lineage: Bacteria; Bacillati; Actinomycetota; Actinomycetes; Bifidobacteriales; Bifidobacteriaceae.